AGGUUAAGCACUCACCAGAAAUUCACUUCCUCACUAUGGUUAGGCGAGGUAAAGCGUGAAUCUGAACAAUCUCAGACAAGAGGAGAACAACGGCUAAAUUGUGCUGUGGUGAAGCUGCGAACGCGAGAAGAUGAGCGAACGAUGAUGUUGUUACGUUUCUGCGACCAGAUGGAAAAAGAGAGAUGAUUGUUGUUGUGAGUAGAGAGUGAGAUGGUCGGAGAUGAGUGGGACGAGAAAAGUGUAUCAGAGUGAGAUGAGAAACAAAUGAGAAA
RNAcentral lists this long non-coding RNA (272 nucleotides) under Trifolium pratense (red clover). Its description in RNAcentral is "long non-coding RNA (TPRA_LNC001796)". The record is from RNAcentral. Lineage: Eukaryota; Viridiplantae; Streptophyta; Magnoliopsida; Fabales; Fabaceae.